GACGAACGCUGGCGGCGUGCUUAACACAUGCAAGUCGAACGGAAAGGCCAGUGCUUGCACUGGUACUCGAGUGGCGAACGGGUGAGUAACACGUGGGUGAUCUGCCUUGCACUCUGGGAUAAGCUUGGGAAACUGGGUCUAAUACCGGAUAUGAACUGCCUUUAGUGUGGUGGUUGGAAAGUUUUUUCGGUGCAAGAUGAGCUCGCGGCCUAUCAGCUUGUUGGUGGGGUAAUGGCCUACCAAGGCGUCGACGGGUAGCCGGCCUGAGAGGGUGUACGGCCACAUUGGGACUGAGAUACGGCCCAGACUCCUACGGGAGGCAGCAGUGGGGAAUAUUGCACAAUGGGCGGAAGCCUGAUGCAGCGACGCCGCGUGGGGGAUGACGGCCUUCGGGUUGUAAACUCCUUUCGACAGGGACGAAGCGUAAGUGACGGUACCUGUAGAAGAAGCACCGGCUAACUACGUG
This 466-nucleotide ribosomal RNA is filed under the name uncultured bacterium. RNAcentral's name for it is "partial 16S ribosomal RNA". It matches the Rfam family "Bacterial small subunit ribosomal RNA", at positions 28 to 507 of the family's 1533-position model. The record is from RNAcentral.